CAACCAGGAUUAGAUACCCUGGUAGUCCACGCCGUAAACGAUGUCGACUUGGAGGUUGUUCCCUUGAGGAGUGGCUUCCGGAGUUAACGCGUUAAGUCGACCGCCUGGGGAGUACGGCCGCAAGGUUAAAAUUCAAAUGAAUUGACGGGGGCCCGCCCAAGCGGUGGAGCAUGUGGUUUAAUUGGAUGCAACGGGAAGACCCUUACCUACUCUUGACAUCCAGAGAACUUACCAGAGAUGCUUUGGUCCCUUCGGGAAUUUUGAGCCAGGUGCUGCAUGGCUGUCGUCAGUUCGUGUUGUGAAAUGUUGGGUUAAGUCCCGCAACGAGCGCAACCCUUAUCCUUUGUUGCCAGCGGUUCGGCCGGGAACUCAAAGGAGACUGCCAGUGAUAAACUGGAGGAAGGUGGGGAUGACGUCAAGUCAUCAUGGCCCUUACGAGUAGGGCUACACACGUGCUACAAUGGCAUAUACAAAGAGAAGCGACCUCGCGAGAGCAAGCGGACCUCAUAAAGUAUGUCGUAGUCCGGAUUGGAGUCUGCAACUCGACUCCAUGAAGUCGGAAUCGCUAGUAAUCGUAGAUCAGAAUGUUACGGUGAAUACGUUCCCGGGCCUUGUACACACCGCCCGUCACAGCCAUGGGAGUGGGUUGCAACAAGAAGUAGGUAGUCUUAA
RNAcentral lists this ribosomal RNA (672 nucleotides) under Lelliottia amnigena. RNAcentral's name for it is "bacterial SSU rRNA". It matches the Rfam family "Bacterial small subunit ribosomal RNA", at positions 769 to 1439 of the family's 1533-position model. The record is from RNAcentral. Lineage: Bacteria; Pseudomonadati; Pseudomonadota; Gammaproteobacteria; Enterobacterales; Enterobacteriaceae.